Molecule: ribosomal RNA, 216 nt
Filed under: Mesorhizobium sp. M4B.F.Ca.ET.215.01.1.1
Lineage: Bacteria; Pseudomonadati; Pseudomonadota; Alphaproteobacteria; Hyphomicrobiales; Phyllobacteriaceae
Description: partial 16S ribosomal RNA
Rfam family: Bacterial small subunit ribosomal RNA
Source: RNAcentral
UUUAUGGAGAGUUUGAUCCUGGCUCAGGAUGAACGCUGGCGGCGUGCCUAAUACAUGCAAGUCGAGCGAACAGAUAAGGAGCUUGCUCCUUUGACGUUAGCGGCGGACGGGUGAGUAACACGUGGGUAACCUACCUAUAAGACUGGAAUAACUCCGGGAAACCGGGGCUAAUGCCGGAUAACAUUUAGAACCGCAUGGUUCUAAAGUGAAAGAUGG